AUGGGACGCAGCUACCGCCGCCGGCAGAAGGCGAGGUCAAAAUCGCCGAUGGUGCAGAGCCCAUGUUGCGGCAGCCCGGAUGCCAGCUCUGUCCGGCGCUCGCGGCCGCUAGCUAGACAAGAUAGCUCCGUCCAGCUGCUUGUCUGCAAGGCCAGCCAUCUGGCUCGAGCGAAGGCCAACGUGGCGGCUUGCUCGCUCGUGAGUAAUGCUCGGGCCAGCCUGCCAACCCGUGCGGAGGCUAGCGCGGCGUCCGGCCCGUCCGACGGAGCGGCGGCCAACUCGCUCAUCACCGGCGCCACCGACGAACACGCAUCAGUACUGUUUGAAGUAAUGUUCAGGAAAAAUAAUGAUUUGAGAGGGAAUAACAGGAUAGAAGGUCAGAUGUGGGUCCCUCGUGUCAACGGUCAAACAAAAUGUGUUGGUUUAAGCUGCCUCGUCAGCACGGACGGAAGGAGCUGGGGCGGGUCCGCAUGUGGGAGAGAUAGAAAGAGGAGAGUGGUGCACAAGGAGACAAAGUGUGCUUAUUUGCAGUGGGGGUGGUGUGUGAGGUGGCGCCGUUCCGCCUCGAUCUUCCUCCUCCUCUACCUCACCAUCAAGCGCUCCUCCUCCUCCUCCUCUGCAUCCACCUCACCACCCAGCCACUUCCCGGCUGCCAAAGGUGGCGCAAGAAAUUCUGGCAGCAUCGGUGUGUGUGUUUGCUGUUGCGGCUGGGGCGGCGGCGGCCUGCUCAUCGGCUCACGGGGCCGGAGCGGAGUACCGGUGCAGUGGUGGUGGAGCCCCUCCCGGUGGGUGACUGGGAGCGACGGCGGGCUGCAGGGCUGGCAUGCAGUGGCGGCUCGGUUGCUCGCCAGAUCUAGCAGCCGGCCAGCACGCUCGGGGCUGGUUGGACCUAUGGCGGAGGCGAGGGAGGAGGUCUGGUGGUACUGCUCGUCUGCCGGUGGCGGAAGGAUUCUGGGCGGCUUGGGUGAAAUCACCAAGUUUUCUCUUCCAUCAGCCCUCUCUCCUUCUUUAGGAUUAUUAGGACUUAGGGUAAGGCGUAGGCGCUGGGACAUUGGCGAGCGGCGGCAUGGUAAGCUCGUUUUUUAUCUUCUGUCGCUCGUACGAUUUGGUCAUCUGGGCUGUGCGGGUUGGUUCUCAUCCUCGCUUCUCUCUCUGUUUUUUCACGGAGCCGCCAUCCUCCCAGCAAGGCUAGGACCGGCAGAGGCCGAGCGGCGGACUGAUUUGGUUUGUGGUGGUCGUCGGCUUGCCGGAGAGGGGCGAGGUGGUGACCGUCGACUUGCCGGAGAGGGAGGGGGAGGAGGAGGAGCCGCGGCAUGGUCCGGCUGCUUUGGUAACUUCAUUGUUUUCUCCUCUUUGCCCCCAACACUCUUCCCCAGAGCCCCUCCCCUUCCCCUCCCCGACCCCCCCAACCACGGCAAGCCGCCGAAUCUAGUCCUCCGCCGCAGCGGUGGACCUCACACCCCGUCGGAUCUACCUUCUGCACCUUGGAACCCCCAACUGCCAACUCACCACUUCACCGGAGCCUCUUCAGUGACUGGCUUGUCCACCGCUCCAGAUCUCCUUGACCGCCAUCAUGGUCCACCGCACCGGAUCUGCUUGACCGGCGCCCUCGUCCACCACAGCGUAGGCCCUUCACUGACUCCAUCGUCCGCCCCUUCGCUGGCCCUUCAUACAAGCCCUCGUCCUCGGCAACAGAUUCGCCUCACCGAAAGCAUUGUACAACGCGUCCGCCGAAGCCUCCUCCACUGCACUGAACCCGCUCCAUGGACGCCAUAUUCAGCUCCACCGGCCCUGCUUUACCGAUGCCGCAGCCUCAUCAGGCGCCGCAACCGUAGCACCGGAGCCGCUUCAGCGACGGCGACAGCCGGCCCAAACUCAACCGCAACACGAGCACCAUCGACGAUCCUUAGCUAUCAAAUUUGCAACCACAGGAUGCUGACAAUAUUUUCAAAGAACAUUGCAACAGCAGCUAGGCUUCACAGCAACAUAUGUUUGCCAUGCUCGGCAAUAAUUCGUCCGUCGUUUACCAUAUUAUGUUGCAAGACCCCCUAUGUUGUCCGGAAUUCCAUGUUGUCCAUGUGUUGUAAUGAUCCAAAUUUUUUAGGCGAGCGCUCUCCUCCCCGUGCCGGUAGCCACUCCGGCUCCGGCGGUCACCUCCACCGCCGUGAUGCACCCUGCCUGCUUGGCCAUGGCCUCGAGGGUCUCGCUGUCAGGGUCGUCCUCGUCGGGGCUCUCCUUCCCUAUUUCUUCAGCGCCUCAUCUGGAGUGUUCCCCCGUCCAGCCUCCUCCCCCGCCCGCAGCUCAGAUCCAUCAUCGUCACGCCGGUGGUGGGCACGGCCUUCGGCCCUCUGGUCCAGGGAGAUAUCGCUGGGCCGUCGCGCCUGCCUCGGGUGGCCGAGGGUUGGCAGGUCCAGAGGCGCAGCCGUCCACGCGCGCCGCCUGCUCGCCCUGCCGCCCAGCCGCGGCGCCGUCGUGUCCUGCGUGCACUUGCCGCGCCCCAUCCUCCCCCUAAGUUCCGUGUGCCGGCGGAGCUUUUCGGUUGCUGCUACAAUUGUGGACAAGAUGACGGGCACAUCUCGGCGGAGUGCUAGAAUCCCAGUUUCUGCGUGCGGUGCCGCGGAGUGGGGCACAUCUCUCGGGGCUGCACUCGGCCUCGCAGUCCAUAUCCAGUGGAGCAGCCCUCGCGCCCACCGCCGGCCCUUCGUCCAAGGGCCCCGUCUGCUGCAGGUCUGGCCGCGUCCCCCUGCCUCGCCGAGGGGAUCUUCUCCCGUUCUGCCGCCGCCUCCCCCGGGCCCUCCUCUGCCGGGUGCCGUCAGGUUGUGGGCUGACGUGGUGCGGGGGCGCGCACGGGCCGGGCUGCCUCUGCCCGCGGGUCCGGUCCGGACUUCUCCGUCCCGUUCAUCGCCGCCGGCGGGGCUGAUGUGGAGCCGGGGUAUGAAGGCGGAGCUUGCGUGUGCGGUGCUUGUUACGAUCACCGGCACCCGCCCGCCGGUGGAUUUGGCGUCUGUUGCCGAGGCGCUUCACCGAGAAUUCGGCAUUGGCCCGGCGGACAUGUCCAUCCGCCCAUACUACCCAGAGGAUUUCCUCGUGCUUUGCAGUGAUGGGGCACUCCGGGAGCGUAUGGUGCAUGCUGGGAGGGCGCCGGUGCCCUGGUUCGAGCUCAAGCUUCGCCCGUGGAUUCGUCAAGCUCAGGCCACGGCAGCUAACCUGCCUUUCCUAGUCCCUAUCUCGCUUCAGGGCGUCCCGGCACAUGCAUGGUGCCAGAGGACGGCGGCAGUGAUCUUGCGUGGCUUGGGUUUCGUGGUGGCGGUGGACGACAGUACUACGAGAAGGCAUGACAUGGCCUAUUUCAGAGUUUGGUUGCGUACGGAUCGCCCGGAGAGGGUCCCAUGGCGCCGUCUGCUCUACAUCGACGAGCCGAGGCGCUCGCUCUGGGCCAUGGAAGGGGGCAGUCGCCGGCCGGCUGCCCGUUGUGUUUCCGUGCUCUGGUACCCUGUUGACAUCGCUAUUCUAGGGGAGCCAAAGCUGGUGGAUGAUCAGGAGGUGGACGACCCGCAUCCGCCACCGCCGCCACCACCACCUUCGCCGCCGAUGGGGAAUGAUGACUGGCACGCGCAAAAUGGUGUUGACCAGCCUUCGGGUGGUGGGGCUGGCAGCAAUGGCGGCUCGGGAGGAUCAGGUGGUAACGCGGCCUCCAUGGUUGGGUCUUCGGCGGCGCCGCCGCCGGCGGCCAGGCGCGUCGUUCAAACGGCCGCCUCUGGAGGGCGUCAGCAUGGCAGCGACAGCAGCUGCGUGGCUGCCGUCACGGGAUCAAAGCUGGUGGCUGGGCCAGUUCGGCCUCGGGCUACGCGUGGCGACCAGCUGACCGCGUGCGACCGCUUGCGGACUUGCGUGGGGAUUGGCCAGAAGGAUCUGGAGGAUCCGGACGGAUGGGCUAGCUGGGCCUGCUGCUUCCCCCGCUUCGGUGCAGCUUUCCAGGUGGAAGCCGUGGGAUGGGCGCUAGCGUUCGGGUCGGAUCUCUACAGGAGUGGAGAACAUUGUGGAUUGGUCGCCAGGAAGCGACAAAGAUCGUGUCUGUUCGAUCCAGGUGGGGUCGGUGCUGCUGGACCUGUCGGGAGAGGUGUUGUCCAAUCAGGAUGGUGGGCCACCAGUGGGGCCUUCCCGGCCUUGGGAUUUCUUUAUGGUGAGCUUAUCGGAGGAUGGGGCUAUGCAUGGGGAGGAGACGUGCAGCGAUCGCUUUUGCCCAUUCUGCCAAGGCUGGAGAGUCGGGCUCCUGCCGCCAAGGGUGGCAAACCAGCAAAGAAGAGGAAGUUGGACGUGGCACCGGUGCGGAGAAGUGCUAGGAUUGUGAUGCAUGCGACCACCAAGCAGCAGCAAGUCCUCAUCUGCAAGUUGUGCCUUGUGCAUGAGGGGGAGGUGAUCUCUGAGGAAGCCCUUCGGAUGUACGUUGAUUUAUUCUCCCGCCCCCUCUCGGACGCUCAUAUUGCCGUUGUUCAACUGAUCAAGAGAAUUGUGAACGAGGGUAGAAGCUGGUCGAUGGCAGGGCUCUUCAAAGGCAAUGUUGAGGCUGUGUUUGCAGGCUUAGCUAGGUGGACGAGUGGGGAGUAG
Molecule: ribosomal RNA, 4608 nt
Filed under: Triticum aestivum (bread wheat)
Lineage: Eukaryota; Viridiplantae; Streptophyta; Magnoliopsida; Poales; Poaceae
Description: partial small subunit ribosomal RNA
Source: RNAcentral